UCCGUAGGUGAACCUGCGGAGGGAGCUCACG
RNAcentral lists this ribosomal RNA (31 nucleotides) under Alternaria tenuissima. Its description in RNAcentral is "partial 18S ribosomal RNA". The record is from RNAcentral. Lineage: Eukaryota; Fungi; Ascomycota; Dothideomycetes; Pleosporales; Pleosporaceae.